This 389-nucleotide ribosomal RNA is filed under the name uncultured Glomus. RNAcentral's name for it is "SSU rRNA". It matches the Rfam family "Eukaryotic small subunit ribosomal RNA", at positions 569 to 962 of the family's 1831-position model. The record is from RNAcentral. Lineage: Eukaryota; Fungi; Glomeromycota; Glomeromycetes; Glomerales; Glomeraceae.
AGCAGCCGCGGUAAUUCCAGCUCCAAUAGCGUAUAUUAAAGUUGUUGCAGUUAAAAAGCUCGUAGUUGAAUUUCGGGGUUAGUAGGUUGGUCGUGCCACUGGUAUGCACUGGUCUCACUGAUUCCUCCUUCCUGAUGAACCGUAAUGCCAUUAAUUUGGUGUUGCGGGGAAUCUGGACUGUUACUUUGAAAAAUUAGAGUGUUUAAAGCAGGCUAACGCUUGAAUACAUUAGCAUGGAAUAAUGGAAUAGGACGAUCGAUCCUAUUUUGUUGGUUUCUAGGAUUGACGUAAUGAUUAAUAGGGAUAGUUGGGGGCAUUAGUAUUCAAUUGUCAGAGGUGAAAUUCUUGGAUUUAUUGAAGACUAACUACUGACGAAAGCAUUUGACCAA